Molecule: ribosomal RNA, 484 nt
Filed under: uncultured bacterium
Lineage: Bacteria
Description: partial 16S ribosomal RNA
Rfam family: Bacterial small subunit ribosomal RNA
Source: RNAcentral
AUUGAACGCUGGCGGCAUGCCUUACACAUGCAAGUCGAACGGCAGCGCGGGAGCAAUCCUGGCGGCGAGUGGCGAACGGGUGAGUAAUACAUCGGGACGUGCCCAAUCGUGGGGGAUAACGCAGCGAAAGCUGUGCUAAUACCGCAUACGAUCUACGGAUGAAAGCAGGGGAUCGCAAGACCUUGCGCGAAUGGAGCGGCCGAUGGCAGAUUAGGUAGUUGGUGAGGUAAAGGCUCACCAAGCCUUCGAUCUGUAGCUGGUCUGAGAGGACGACCAGCCACACUGGGACUGAGACACGGCCCAGACUCCUACGGGAGGCAGCAGUGGGGAAUUUUGGACAAUGGGCGAAAGCCUGAUCCAGCCAUGCCGCGUGCAGGAUGAAGGCCUUCGGGUUGUAAACUGCUUUUGUACGGAACGAAACGGUCUUUUCUAAUAAAGAAGGCUAAUGACGGUACCGUAAGAAUAAGCACCGGCUAACUACGUG